Long non-coding RNA from Octodon degus (degu), 1184 nucleotides. RefSeq lists it as uncharacterized. The transcript has 3 exons. NCBI's taxonomy places the organism in Eukaryota, Metazoa, Chordata, Mammalia, Rodentia, Octodontidae. The record is from RefSeq and is a predicted model, not a curated record.
GGGAGAUGAGAGCUGGGCUGCAGAGGGAGCAAGCGGAGGGGACCUGAGGACCGGGAGGGAGGGAGCCAGCGCGUCUCCCGGACACGGAAAGGGGGACCCGGGCUGUCUGGCGUUCGUGCAGCCUCGCCUGUCGGCACCUGUCCAGGUGUGUGCGAGCCUCCCGAGGUCAGUGUCACUUGGCGGAGCCAGCAGUUUUGCGGCCAACCGCUGGCGGCGAGGGCUGGGCAGAGCUGCGCCUCGCUAAACCUCCGAGGCCGCGCCCCCCGCGCUUCCUUCGCUCCGAGGUUCACCGAACUCCUGCAGGAGUUCGCCGGCUCUGCCUCACCCCGCCCUGCCUCGAAACGCAACGCCGCCGAUGGCUCUGAGAGCCCGGUGAUCUUAAGGGACACUCGAGCCGGACGCUUGCACGCCUUCCCUUCUCUUGUGCGUGGUCACCUAAAACUCAAAGCCAUGCACGUGGCAUGAGGGCACAUCACUUCUAAGCUCCUUGCAACACUUUCCACCUCGUCACCUUGUUACCUUUACAUCUCAAGACCUACCAAACUAGAAGCAUCCUAUGAAUGAAGCUGGCACCUAAUUCGUCCCUCAUAAGGCCAAGGAGUGUUCAUUUAGAGUUUCAAUGAAUACUUGAUGGAUACAUGACAUAACUAAUGUACAUGUUUAGUGUUUAAAUGUUCUAUAACCACUAACAUUAACACCUGUAUAUGUUGUGAACACUGGUUGAACCAAAAAGCACUCAGUCUCCUAUGCCGAGACUAUGAGAAACUUCAGCAAAAUUCCCAGUUACCAUGCCCUAAAAUAGCUAACAUAGAGAAGUAAUAAAUAGAGCAGGAUAUAAUAUUUGAAAUGUUUACUCUCAAAGGAAUGAAUAUAUUAAGAAUGCAUUUCCAGAAAGGAAUCCUCCUACUGGCGGUAUUUUCAGGGUAAGUUCUGUUCGAUGUCCCUUGGAUAGCCUCAGAUCAAUACUAGAAGUGAAAAGGUUCACCAGCUAUUAUGUCAACUGGCUCUUUCAGGAAUUGCUUUCUUCUCUUCCUUCCCUUGCAGUGAAUAUAAUUUUUACAAUGUGAUUGGUUUAUUAAGUAGCCUGCUUCAGAAGAUUCAAAUAAGGGGGCCUGCUGGGUAGCUCAGUUGCUUAAGCGCCUGCUCAUGCAAACGCAGUCAGGCGCAGGAUACCACAGUUCAGU